RNAcentral lists this long non-coding RNA (519 nucleotides) under Homo sapiens (human). RNAcentral's name for it is "HSALNT0102259". Lineage: Eukaryota; Metazoa; Chordata; Mammalia; Primates; Hominidae. The record is from RNAcentral.
UGUGGUGAUGCACGCCUGUAGUCCCAGCUACUCAGAAGGCUGAGGCAGGGGAAUCACUUGAAGGUGGCAGAGGUUGCAGUGAGCCGAGAUGGUGCCACUUGCACUCCCACCUGGGCAACAGAGCAAGACUCCAUCUCAAAAAAAAAAAGGGGAGAGAGAGAGAAAAAGAAAAGGAAGGAAGGAAGAAAGAAAGAGAGAAACUAGAAAACAAAGCAAGUGCUAAUAAACGGGUAUAGGCCAGUUUAUCUUGAUGUGCAUGAAGUCACCUGGCAAUUGGAUGAAAUGCAGAAGAGGCUUGGGAUUCUGCAUCUUUAACAAGCCCCCAAGUGAUGUUGAUAUUGCUAACCCUGAACUGCACUUUGAAUAAAGAGAAUCUUGACCACAGAGUACCAAGGAAAGCAUAAAGCUCUUUAGGUUUAGAACUGAUGAAUGAGCACUUAAAAUAGCGACUUGGACCAUUGGAACUUUUAUUUUGCGUCUUCUCUAAAAAAAUAAUCGUUACUUGCUGGAAAAAAAUCU